This 1905-nucleotide long non-coding RNA is filed under the name Brachypodium distachyon (stiff brome). RNAcentral's name for it is "long non-coding RNA (BDIS_LNC001183)". The record is from RNAcentral. Lineage: Eukaryota; Viridiplantae; Streptophyta; Magnoliopsida; Poales; Poaceae.
CUAGACAGAAAAUUACCGGGCCUGCUAUUCUGAAGUUGCCAUACUAAACAUACUAGAAUUACCCAGGUCUACUAUUCUGAAAGUGCCAGUGAGACACAUUCAUCCCUUGUAGAAUUGAAGUUGCCAUGCAAAAUAGACCGGAAUUACUGGUCUUAUUCUAAAUUUGACAUGCAAAAUAGACAGGAUAUACCAGACCUACUAUUAUGAAACUACGAGUGAGACAUUUAUCCCUUCUAGAUGUGAAGUUAUAAUGCUGAUUAGACAAAAAUUACCAAGCGUACUAUUCUGAAGUUGCCAUGCUAAACAGACUAGAAUUAUCAGACCUAAUAUUAUGAAACUGCCAGCGAGACACAUUCAUCCCUUAUAUAUUUGAAGUUGCCAUGUAAAAUAGACCGAAAUUACCGGGUUUGCUAUUAUAAAUUUGCCAUGCUAAGUAGACAGGAAAUAUCAUACCUACUAUUCUGAAACUACGAGUGAGACAUUCAUCCCUUCUAUAUGUGAAGUUCUCAUGCUGACUAGACAAAAAUUACCAGGUCUACUAUGUUGAAGUUGGCAUGCUAAAUAGACUAGAAUUAUUAGGCCUACUACUCUGAAACUGCUAGUGAGACACAUUCGCCCUUCUAGAUUUUAAGUUGCCAUGCUAAAAAGACUAAAAUCACUAGGCCUACAAUUCUGAAGUUGGCAUGCUAAAUAGAUUGGAAUUACCGGGCCUUGUAUUAAUUCUAAAGUUGCCAUGCUAAAUAGACUGUAAUUAUCAGGCUAACUAUUUUGAAACUACCAGUGAGGCAUUUAUCCCUUCUAGAUUUGAAAAAUUGAUGUGCUAAAUAGAUUGAAUUACCGGGCCUACUAUUCUUAAACUAUCAUCAUUACAAACCAUGUCAUUCAUGUAGAAUACACUACACGUAGAAAAAGUUUACGCAACUUACAGUUUUCCUCGGACAAAAAUAGGCAUCGCAUUACAAAUAGCGGUACUGAUCACAAACGAAGCUGUCAUAGAAUCUUCAGAAAUUACAGUUUCUGUGGUAAAAAAAACACAAAAAAAAUUAGUCUUGACUCAAGUAACUAUGCUAAUAUACAUAAACUUGCUAGUGAAAUCUAACCGUAAUUGCCAUGAUAUGUACAUGCUAAGUAGGCAUGAAAUAUAAAGUAAGUUAGCAUUUCAUCAAGUUAGCAAUGCAUUGUGAUUGAAACUUCCAUGUUAUACAAAGUCAAGUUGCUAACCAUGGGCCAAAUUUUUUAGCAGUGAGACAUUCAUUCUAGAUUGAAGUUGCCAUUCUAAAUAGACCGAAAUUACUAAAACUACAAUUCUGAAACUACCACUGAGACAUUUGGCCAUUCUAGAUUAAAGUUGCCAUGCUAAACAGACUAGAAUUACCAGACCUACUAUUAUGAAACUACCGGUGAGAAAUGAAGUUGCGACUUUUUGAAACACAAAGUUACCAUGCUAUGAAAUAAAAAGUUGCCACCAUGUCAAACACAAAGUUGCCGUGACGUGCACUAGAAACCUACCAUUCUUUAAGGUUGCAGUUGAUCCAAAAAUGAAGUUACCACAUGACAAUUACAAAACUAUCAGGCAUGAAGUAGUAAACUUGCUACAUGACAAAUGCGCUAGUAAGCUACCAUUCUUCAAGGUUGUCGUGCAUCCAAAAUUGAAGAUACUACAUGGCAAACACAAAACUAUCAAGCAUGAAGCAGAAAAGUUGCCACAUGACAAAUGCACAAAUAAGUUGCAUUUCUCAAAGGUUGGGGUGCAUCCAAAAAUGAAAUUACCAUAUGAAAAACACAAAAACUAACUGACAUGAAGUAGCAAAGUUACCACGUAACUAAUGCACUAGGAAACUUUCAUUCUUUAAGGUUGUUGUGCAUCCAAAAAUGAAGUUAUCACAUGACAAAUAUGAAACUACC